AUGUGCUUCUUUAAGUUUUGCAGGAGACAGAAAACAGGCACGUUUUGUUGGGGGGGAACCACCCGUUCUAGCAGACAGAUGCAACACCUUUCAGAGAACCCAGACACUACACACUCCACUGACUUCCUUGUCCAGCCUGUACCAGCAACACAUCAUAGAAGGCAUCACCACCCACAGUGGACAGGGCAGUUUGUGGUAAUAAUCGUGACCGGCGGCUUCUGUCUAGACUUGUCCAUGCAAACAGACAAGUUCCAGACAAGUGACUCCCCACCCUUAUCUCCCACAGACAUGCAGUGGACUGCGGCACCCGGGCAGUCGCUGCUCCUGGCAGCAGAUGAAGUUCGGUCAUUAUCUUCACCCUGGCACCAAAAUGAAAGCCUUGGCUGGUGAUGUUGUGCAGAGAGCAGCUGCUUAAAAUGGCGUCUCGGUGCUUCUGGUGUAGAGGAGGACCAGAGGGAGGACAUUAGGAAGUGAUGGACUGGACCUGCUUAAUGGACACUCCCUCUCUUAUUCUCUCUCUCUCUCUCGCUCUCUCUCUCUCUCUCUCUUCCUCUCCUUCUCCUUCCUCCCCGCCGCAGGCCUCAUACACACUCACAAAUCUCUUUUUAUUAGUGCCAUCAUUACUGUAAUGCUGUUGCUAAUAUUACCCUUGGUAAUGCUAACAACACUAUCGUAAAUGGAGUUAGCGUUCAUGAUUAGAAGUAUUCCGUUAAGGCUCCUGGGGCCACGCUCUUUUUCCCUGAGCUGGACCACGCUUCUCCACCACAGAGCCGAAGUGAAGGUCCUUACUGUGUUAUAGACGCGUUUCUCCAAAUCUAAAGUAGAAAUCUUUGCUGUUUUCUGUUUUAACCUGAGCCGCUCUCUUUCUAUGCUCUGUUAAUUCUCUCUCUCUCUCUCUUUCUUUCUACCUCGCCAAGUUUUUCUUACAGAAUGUCCCAGGAGGCUGCCAGAGCCUCCGCCGGCCAGUUCCAGCCAGCUUGAGAUUGGGGAACUGGCCAAAAGCCACCUGUUCAACAACAAAAAGGAGGCUAGAUAAGUUUUAGUGUAUGGUCCCUCUAGAGUCUGACCACAUUUUAUCUCAGCACAAUAGUUUAGACUCUGAAAAGUCUAUAAACCAUUAAGGGCAUAUUUCAUAUGUUUCUAUUGUGUUUUAUUUAUUUAUAUGUUUUCUUUGGCUCAUAAAUUCAACAAAUAUAUAUAUAGUCAACUAUAAUAUAUAUAGUGUAUGUAAAUCAUCUUUUGUUCUGAUUGGCUAUUGGUUAUGUUCUGAGCCUGAGCUAAAAGCCUGAAAAAAUAACCACUUCAAUUUCUGAAUCAGUUUUUCUGAUAACAUUGCUGUUUUAUUCUAUAAACUACAUACAACAUUUCUUCCAAAUUCCAAAUAAAAAUAUUGUUAUUUAGAGCA
Molecule: long non-coding RNA, 1405 nt
Filed under: Astyanax mexicanus (Mexican tetra)
Lineage: Eukaryota; Metazoa; Chordata; Actinopteri; Characiformes; Acestrorhamphidae
Description: lncRNA (ENSAMXG00005023777.1)
Source: RNAcentral